GUGCUUGCUUUGGCAGCACGUAGACUACAGUUGGAAUGAUACAGAGAAGAUUAGCGUGGCCCGUGCACAAGGAUGACAGGCAAAUUCACGAAGCGUUCAUUAACAAA
This is a small nuclear RNA of Grammomys surdaster, 107 nucleotides long. The record is from RefSeq and is a predicted model, not a curated record. NCBI's taxonomy places the organism in Eukaryota, Metazoa, Chordata, Mammalia, Rodentia, Muridae.